AUCGCUUCUCGGCCUUAUGGCUAAGAUCAAGUGUAGUAUCUGUUCUUAUCAGUUUAAUAUCUGAUACGUCCCCUACCCGGGGACCAUAUAUUAAAUKGAUUUUUGGAKCMGCGGAGAUGGAAGMGGGGCUUGCUCCGUCCACUCCACGCAUCGACCYGGUAUUGCAGUACCGCCGGGAA
Molecule: small nuclear RNA, 179 nt
Filed under: Leptobotia elongata (royal clown loach)
Lineage: Eukaryota; Metazoa; Chordata; Actinopteri; Cypriniformes; Botiidae
Description: partial U2
Rfam family: U2 spliceosomal RNA
About the family: U2 is a small nuclear RNA (snRNA) component of the spliceosome (involved in pre-mRNA splicing). Complementary binding between U2 snRNA (in an area lying towards the 5' end but 3' to hairpin I) and the branchpoint sequence (BPS) of the intron results the bulging out of an unpaired adenosine, on the BPS, which initiates a nucleophilic attack at the intronic 5' splice site, thus starting the first of two transesterification reactions that mediate splicing.
Source: RNAcentral